CUACGGGUUGCACCAGCUAAGAAUCUUCCGCAAUGGACGAAAGUCUGACGGAGCGACGCCGCGUGGGGGAAGAAGGCGGUGACGUUGUAAACCCCUUUUCUGCGUGAGGAAUAAGCAUAGGAGGGAAUGCCUAUGUGAUGACGGUAGCGCAGGAAUAAGCCCCGGCUAAUUACGUGCCAGCAGCCGCGGUAACACGUAUGGGGCGAGCGUUGUUCGGAAUUAUUGGGCGUAAAGGGCGCGCAGGCGGACCAACAAGUCUGGUGUGAAAGACCGCAGCUCAACUGCGGGGACGCGCUGGAAACUGUUGAACUUGAGUACCGGAGGGGAAGCUGGAAUUCCUGGUGUAGGGGUGAAAUCUGUAGAUAUCAGGAAGAACAUCGGUGGCGAAGGCGAGCUUCUGGCCGUGUACUGACGCUGAGGCGCGAAAGCGUGGGGAGCGAACAGGAUUAGAUACCCGUGUAGUC
RNAcentral lists this ribosomal RNA (464 nucleotides) under uncultured bacterium. RNAcentral's name for it is "partial 16S ribosomal RNA". It matches the Rfam family "Bacterial small subunit ribosomal RNA", at positions 339 to 795 of the family's 1533-position model. The record is from RNAcentral.